UAAGGAAUUCAUUCAGAUGGGAAGAUUUCAGGUGACAGUCAUUUGGAAAGGGUAUUUCACCAAAAAGUGAAAAAGCCAUAUAAGAAUUAUCCUGGACAUCUCAAAUAAGUUUGACUUUGUGAGGGGAGCCUGGGUGUGUAAACAUCAGCCAGAGCUUUGAGGUGGAUCUGCCUGUGCCUUCUCUUUAAGAGGUGAGCUUGCAGGUGCUGUAAGAAGUUCUGAGAUAAUGUGCUCAUCUCCUUCGGUGCAGCUGCCUACUUCUAGCAGAAGAAUUGAAUUAAUUGAAUAUUUGAAGAAUUGCUUAACUGAAUAUUUAAAGCUGCUUGUCAGGAUACUUAAGAUGAGAACUGUGUCAGCCAUUCCUGAUAACAGAGAGCCUUGGGCCUGGUGGAUGGGGAGAACAGCUUGGAAAGGUGGCAAAGUGCAGUGAAAAGUCACCUCUUCAAACUGCAAGUAUAAUCUGCU
This is a long non-coding RNA of Oxyura jamaicensis (ruddy duck), 465 nucleotides long. RefSeq lists it as uncharacterized. NCBI's taxonomy places the organism in Eukaryota, Metazoa, Chordata, Aves, Anseriformes, Anatidae. The record is from RefSeq and is a predicted model, not a curated record. The transcript has 3 exons.